AGGAUAAACGCUGGCGGCGUGCCUAACACAUGCAAGUCGAACGUCUCUUUCUUCGGGAAGAGGAGUGGCGGACGGGUGAGGAACACGUGGGAACCUGCCCUACAGUGAGGAAUACCGGCGAGAAAUCGCCGACAAGACCGCAUAGCCCUCUCUGGUGAGAGCCAGAGAAGGAAAGCUUCGCAAGAGGCGCUGGAGGAGGGGCCUGCGUCCGAUUAGCUAGUUGGUGGGGUAAGAGCCUACCAAGGCGUCGAUCGGUAGCUGGUCUGAGAGGACGAUCAGCCACACUGGGAUUGAGAACGGCCCAGACUCCUACGGGGGGCAGCAGUGAGGAAUUUUCGGCAAUGGGGGAAACCCUGACCGAGCAACGCCGCGUGCAGGAAGACGGCCUUCGGGUUGUAAACGUGCUUUUCUUUGGGACGUAGCAAGGACGGUACCAGAGGAAUCAGCCCGGCUCACUACGUGCCAGCAGCCGC
This 473-nucleotide ribosomal RNA is filed under the name uncultured bacterium. RNAcentral describes it as "SSU rRNA". It matches the Rfam family "Bacterial small subunit ribosomal RNA", at positions 26 to 518 of the family's 1533-position model. The record is from RNAcentral.